This 292-nucleotide ribosomal RNA is filed under the name uncultured bacterium. Its description in RNAcentral is "partial 16S ribosomal RNA". The record is from RNAcentral.
GGACUACAAGGGUAUCUAAUCCGGAUCGCUCCCCACGCUUUCGCGCAUCAGCGUCAGCAAAGCUCCAGGCAACCGCCUUCGCCACUGGUGUUCUUCCCGAUAUCUACGCAUUCCACCACUACACCGGGAGUUCCAUUGCCCCCUAGCUUGCUCUAGCCACACCGUAUCCGCUGACCCCGCCCAGUUGAGCCAGGCGAUUUCACAACGGACGUGCGUAGCCGCCUACGCGCCCUUUACGCCCAAUAAAUCCGGGCAACGCUUGCACCCUACGUAUUACCGCGGCGGCUGGCAC